CAGGGAGACAACAAAAUGUUAAAUAUCAAUUUUGUCACCUUAGGUCGAUCGGUACCCCACAUUCUUAAUUUAUUAGGGAUUUUAUUUCCUAAGUUUUUCUAGGUCACACCCAUUAUUUUUCCUGGGCCAUUAGCUCAGGUGGUUAGAGCGCACCCCUGAUAAGGGUGAGGUCCCUGGUUCAAGUCCAGGAUGGCCCAUAUCUCUAUGUUGGGGGUAUAGCUCAGUUGGUAGAGCGCCUGCUUUGCAAGCAGGAUGUCAGCGGUUCGAGUCCGCUUACCUCCACUGAUUACCACCUCUUCCAUAAUUUUUAUAGAAAGGAAAUUUUUGUGUUGUGAUCAAAUUCUGAACGAUUCUAGCUUCCUAAUCAGACUAUUAAGAUGCUGGAUUCAUUGAAUUAAUUUCAUUGUUUUCAGAGAACCUUGACAACUGCAUAGAUUAUUUUUAAAGACAAUAAGCAUCUUUUAAUGAUGCAGAUUUAUUAUUUUUGCGAAUGCAUUAAUAACAAUUCUAUUAAGCUGAUGCUUCAAAUUUUUUGAAGUUAUU
RNAcentral lists this transfer RNA (543 nucleotides) under uncultured cyanobacterium. Its description in RNAcentral is "partial miscellaneous RNA". The stretch from base 210 to 282 matches the Rfam family "tRNA". Lineage: Bacteria; Bacillati; Cyanobacteriota. The record is from RNAcentral.